Zingiber officinale is the source of this 190-nucleotide small nuclear RNA. RefSeq annotates it as U2 spliceosomal RNA. The transcript has a single exon. Lineage: Eukaryota; Viridiplantae; Streptophyta; Magnoliopsida; Zingiberales; Zingiberaceae. The record is from RefSeq and is a predicted model, not a curated record.
AUAUCUUUCUCAGCUUUUUGGCUAAGAUCAAGUGUAGUAUUUGUUCUUAUCAGUUUAAUAUCUAAUACGUGGACCAUUGGUUCACUAUGAUAUUAAAUUAAUUUUUGUUUUGGGGAGAUCAUCUACUAGAUCUUUCGUGUGUUAUCCUUGUGUUGUACUAUUGCAGGGUUCGUGUGUUAAUUCAAUUAAA